GGACCCGCACAAGCGGUGGAUGAUGUGGUUUAAUUCGAUGCAACGCGAAAAACCUUACCUACCCUUGACAUGCCAGGAAUCCUGCAGAGAUGUGGGAGUGCUCGAAAGAGAGCCUGGACACAGGUGCUGCAUGGCCGUCGUCAGCUCGUGUCGUGAGAUGUUGGGUUAAGUCCCGCAACGAGCGCAACCCUUGUCAUUAGUUGCUACGAAAGGGCACUCUAAUGAGACUGCCGGUGACAAACCGGAGGAAGGUGGGGAUGACGUCAGGUCCUCAUGGCCCUUAUGGGUAGGGCUACACACGUCAUACAAUGGCCGGUACAGAGGGCUGCCAACCCGCGAGGGGGAGCUAAUCCCAGAAAACCGGUCGUAGUCCGGAUCGCAGUCUGCAACUCGACUGCGUGAAGUCGGAAUCGCUAGUAAUCGCGGAUCAGCAUGUCGCGGUGAAUACGUUCCCGGGUCUU
Molecule: ribosomal RNA, 461 nt
Filed under: uncultured bacterium
Lineage: Bacteria
Description: bacterial SSU rRNA
Rfam family: Bacterial small subunit ribosomal RNA
Source: RNAcentral